UGAGUAAACUGGGUGAUCGCAGGUACCAGGCCGAAAGGCGGUAUCUGAGGAAAGUCCGAGCUCCUCAGGGCAGGGUGCUGGGUAAUUCCCAGUGGGGGCAACCCCAAGGAAAGUGCCACAGAGAUAUACCGCCAGACACUUAACUUAAUAUUUACUUUUUGCUAAUCCAGCGGAGGCUGGGGCAGGGAUUGCAGAUUAAUCCAUUUAAGUAAGUACUGAGUUAAGUGCCUGGUAAGGGUGAAAAGGUGAGGUAAGAGCUCACCAGCA
This 267-nucleotide RNase P RNA is filed under the name Clostridia bacterium. Its description in RNAcentral is "partial RNase P RNA component class A". It matches the Rfam family "Bacterial RNase P class A", at positions 1 to 182 of the family's 367-position model. From Rfam's summary of the family: Ribonuclease P (RNase P) is a ubiquitous endoribonuclease, found in archaea, bacteria and eukarya as well as chloroplasts and mitochondria. Its best characterised activity is the generation of mature 5'-ends of tRNAs by cleaving the 5'-leader elements of precursor-tRNAs. The record is from RNAcentral. Lineage: Bacteria; Bacillati; Bacillota; Clostridia.